Molecule: non-coding RNA, 19 nt
Filed under: Arabidopsis thaliana (thale cress)
Lineage: Eukaryota; Viridiplantae; Streptophyta; Magnoliopsida; Brassicales; Brassicaceae
Source: RNAcentral
AACGGCGUGCCUCGGCAUC